GAAAGACACCAUACUGAAUAG
RNAcentral lists this non-coding RNA (21 nucleotides) under Rattus norvegicus (Norway rat). Lineage: Eukaryota; Metazoa; Chordata; Mammalia; Rodentia; Muridae. The record is from RNAcentral.